GGCCCUCCACCCCCUGGAGCCUCUAAUUGGCUGUGCCACCCUUCACUUUGGCAAAGGGGACAGCGAGUGGCAGUGAUCCAAAGGUCCCGCCUAGAAGGAGUUGCCACAAUAGCCAGAGCCUGUAAACAGACAUGAACAGGGUCUGUAUUUCCCCUUUGGCCUCUGCCCUCUUGACCUGUCAACGUGUGACCUCCAGAGCGGAAGACCACGUACACACAGGACAUUCAUGUGAGAGGCAGCUGAGAAGAGGUCAUAAACCAUCAAAGACCCCCACAGCACCUUCCAAGACUCGCUCCUGAGGCCUUCCACCACCAGAGGACUGCAUGUGAUCCAAGUGAGGCAACAAAUCCAGAGCAAGAGACUGCAAAGCUCUCACCCUGGGGAGGUAUCUGGGCAUCUCCUGAAUGUAUAUUAAUCCACUGGACUCUAUGGUUUGAGGGACCCUCACCACCAAGAAGACCAGAAGAACAAGACCCACAGAAUGCUGCAGGGUUCCAAAGA
Chiroxiphia lanceolata (lance-tailed manakin) is the source of this 501-nucleotide long non-coding RNA. RefSeq lists it as uncharacterized. The transcript is spliced from 3 exons. The record is from RefSeq and is a predicted model, not a curated record. Lineage: Eukaryota; Metazoa; Chordata; Aves; Passeriformes; Pipridae.